UACAGAGGGUGCAAGCGUUAAUCGGAAUUACUGGGCGUAAAGCGUGCGUAGACGGUUACAUAAGUCGGGUGUGAAAGCCCCGGGCUCAACCUGGGAAUUGCAUUCGAGACUGCGUAGCUAGGGUGCGGAAGAGGGAAGCGGAAUUUCCGGUGUAGCGGUGAAAUGCGUAGAUAUCGGAAGGAACACCAGUGGCGAAAGCGGCUUCCUGGUCCAGCAUCGACGUUCAGGCACGAAAGCGUGGGGAGCAAACAGG
This 253-nucleotide ribosomal RNA is filed under the name uncultured bacterium. Its description in RNAcentral is "partial 16S ribosomal RNA". It matches the Rfam family "Bacterial small subunit ribosomal RNA", at positions 524 to 776 of the family's 1533-position model. The record is from RNAcentral.